CGCGUAGGCGGGAAUGAAAGUCAGUUGUGAAAUCCUGGGGCUCAACCUCAGAGCUGCAACUGAAACUUCAUUUCUUGAGGGCGGGAGGAGAAAACGGAAUUCCACAAGUAGCGGUGAAAUGCGUAGAUAUGUGGAAGAACACCUGUGGCGAAAGCGGUUUUCUAUCUCGUUCCUGACGCUGAGGCGCGAAAGCAAGGGGGAGCAAACA
Molecule: ribosomal RNA, 208 nt
Filed under: uncultured bacterium
Lineage: Bacteria
Description: partial 16S ribosomal RNA
Rfam family: Bacterial small subunit ribosomal RNA
Source: RNAcentral